Molecule: RNA transcript, 2906 nt
Organism: Manihot esculenta (cassava)
Lineage: Eukaryota; Viridiplantae; Streptophyta; Magnoliopsida; Malpighiales; Euphorbiaceae
Gene name: glycosyltransferase family 92 protein RCOM_0530710
Exons: 5
Source: RefSeq, a predicted model, not a curated record
CGAAACACCAAAGAUCAGAUGAUGAGUGAUGUUAGCCGUCACUCUCUCUCUUCACCACUAUGCCGACUUCUUCUCGCUUUCUGUCUCGGAGAAAACUUUCCGUAGACGGCUCAAGUGCUCAGUAGAAUAAAAACACUCACAAAUUUCAGAUGAAAUAAAACCACACCCUCUUUACCUCUAUCUUCAUGUUUGAGGAUAAACGAGUGGGUUUUCUCGGCUUUUUUUGGGGUCUUGUGCGUGUUUUUCGUGGUUGUUGCUGUUGCUCUUAACAAAAGCUUCCGCCGCCGUUUCUUCUUGCAGCGAUGAAGGACCGUAGAAAACGCGACGUCGUUUCGUGGAGUCGGUUCUUUUGGUGUACUCUCUUUGUUGUUUUCUCUUGUGUCCUCUUCACAGGCUUCAGUUUUUCCACUUUUCGAAUAUUGUUUGGAGAUAAAUUUCACCCGGAAAUUGUUUAUGCAUGGCGACCUCCGGCGUUGCGGGCCAUAACCGGCGAGUCUCCGGGGAAUUCGGAUACUAUCUCAAUACGAGAAACCGUUUUACUACCAGACGAGGCUGUUCUUUUCCUUAAAUACCCUCAAUCAGCUCGCUUAUUUACCAAAGAGGACUUGGAUUGUGCUUAUUUCUCGACCGACUCGUCGUCAUCAGCCCAGCCACAGUUCAAGCGCCCUCCUAAUCGAAUAGAUAGUGAUGAUCCGGAUCAUCAGAUCGUACGGUGUCCCCUUAGUCCACGUGGCUUAGUAGUUGCUCUUGCCUUGAAAUCUGGUGGAUAUAUCAACUCCGGCCCAAUCCACCGGUGGGAUUCGCUCGUGUAUGAAGCACUGCUAGACCGCGACAAUACCACAGUCGUAUUUGUGAAGGGGCUCAAUCUACGGCCAGACAAGCUCUACAACACGUCAAGAUUCGAGUGCCUGUACGGCUGGGAUUUCAGGACGCCCAAGUUUCUAUUACGAUCAAGUGUCAUGUCAAUAGCCCAAGAGAUCGUACGGUGCCAAACGCCUCUGAGCAUAUUGAGCAACCCACAGAAGGUAAACAAUUCAAUCAAGGUCUCAAUUAGAGUGAAAGGCAGAGGAACAUUACACUCUAUAGCCAGACCACGGCUCCAAUUGGACCCAAACCCGGACCUGAAAGCCCGAAAGCCACACCACAUGUGCAUAUGCACAAUGUUGCGCAACCAAGCAAGGUUCCUUGGGGAAUGGGUCAUGUACCAUGGCCGAAUUGGGGUCCAACGGUGGUUCAUUUACGAUAAUAAUAGUGAAGAUAAUAUUGAUAGUGUGAUAGAGUCAUUAAUGGAUAGCAAUUACAAUAUUUCAAAAUAUGUGUGGCCUUGGAUCAAGACCCAAGAGGCGGGGUUUGCCCAUUGUGCACUACGGGCACGAACUUCUUGUGAAUGGGUUGGGUUCAUAGACGUGGAUGAAUUUUUUCACUUGCCAAAUGGGUUGAAUUUGCUUGAUGUGCUAAGAAAUCAAUCCGAAUCCAAUAGUAAUGUUGGAGAACUACGUGUAUCAUGCCAUAGUUUUGGACCGUCAGGGCUCCAACACGUGCCGACCGAAGGAGUUACCGUGGGGUAUACGUGCCGAAUGAUAUUGCCAGAGAGACACAAGAGUAUAGUGAAACCUGAGGCAUUGAAUGCAACAUUGAUCAAUGUGGUGCACCAUUUUCAUUUAAGGGACGGGUUUAGGCAUGUGAAUGCUGACAGGGGGGUUUUGGUGAUUAACCACUACAAGUACCAAGUCUGGGAAGUGUUUAAAGAAAAAUUUUAUAGGAGGGUGGCUACUUAUGUGGUUGAUUGGCAAAAUCAGCAGAACGUUGGGUCCAAGGAUCGUGUCCCUGGGUUGGGGACUAGAGCUGUUGAGCCACCGGAUUGGGCCAGUAGAUUUUGUGAGGUCACAGAUACUGGACUCAGGGAUAGAGUGUUGGAAAUGUUCAGUGACCCAAUAACAAGGCUUUUGCCAUGGCAGGAAGAUACUGGUGGUCUGGAUGUGCAAAAUUGAGUUUUUCUCCAUCAGGAGAGAGGGUAAAAGAUUUGUUUGGAGAUUUGCUUUGCACCUAGUACCACUUCUUGUGGACACAGAUAACCAAAAAGUUUAACCCUUCUGUACUAACUAUAGAAAUUUCCAUUUGGCGAUAUUGAUUUCAUUAUUUCUGUAAGAAAUGCUUAAGGUCUGCUGCUGAUAAAUGUGGAAAGAAGUGUCCAAGGUGCGGACAGCUGAUAAGCAAUGGAGAUCUUGCACUGUGAACACAGUUCUUUGGAACACAAUAGAGCUUCUGUUUCCUCAAGAAAUUGAAGCAAGAAAGGCAGCUGGGGCCUUGAAUAGUCGAGAAGCAGAUCGUGAAACCCAGGAAACAAGAAUCAAUACUGGUGAGAGAAACUCAAGCAUUCGCCCUUCCAGGAUCCAAGUAAUUUCCAGAAGACAUGUAACUGCAAGGACAAGAGAUGAACUGAACCAAGGUGAAGAUUCUGCACUAGCUCAAAGAGGUUGCAUAGAGAAGAGCUUACACUAUUAUUAUUGAAUAGAGAGACAAGUGGAAGGAACAGAAGAGGGAUAACUAGCCAAGAUGAGGAUGCUGCAUUAGCUAAGGCUGCAGAGAGGAGCUCAUGGAGGCCUUUGGAGGAUCCCAUGCUCAAUCAGGAAGAUCUCUUUCUUUGGCUAGAGCAAACUAGAGAGCUUUGGCAUCAAGAGCUAUCGACCCUCGCAUGGGAAACCGGCCAAUAUAGUUCUACUUCUUGUUGAAAUUGGAUAAUCUAGCUUUCUUUCAAUCCAAAUGUUUAUUUUUUAAUCCUACUUUCUUCUGAUAGUUAUCUGUUUUAUUUUUUGUAUCAAUAUUUGGAAUCAAGUUCACUCAUGACUGUUGAGGACACCAAGCAGGACUUAAUGAAAUUCAUGCUUCUGGCUUGAAUAAUGCAA